RNAcentral lists this ribosomal RNA (492 nucleotides) under uncultured bacterium. RNAcentral describes it as "partial 16S ribosomal RNA". It matches the Rfam family "Bacterial small subunit ribosomal RNA", at positions 29 to 507 of the family's 1533-position model. The record is from RNAcentral.
AGUGAACGCUGGCGGUAGGCCUAACACAUGCAAGUCGAACGGCAGCACAGUAAGAGCUUGCUCUUACGGGUGGCGAGUGGCGGACGGGUGAGGAAUACAUCGGAAUCUACUCUUUCGUGGGGGAUAACGUAGGGGAACUUACGCUAAUACCGCAUACGACCUACGGGUGAAAGCAGGGGAUCUUCUGACCUUGCGCGAUUGAAUGAGCCGAUGUCGGAUUAGCUAGUUGGCGGGGUAAAGGCCCACCAAGGCGACGAUCCGUAGCUGGUCUGAGAGGAUGAUCGGCCACACUGGAACUGAGACACGGUCCAGACUCCUACGGGAGGCAGCAGUGGGGAAUAUUGGACAAUAGGCGCAAGCCUGAUCCAGCCAUACCGCGUGGGUGAAGAAGGCGUUCGGGGUGUAAAGCCCUUUUGUUGGGAAAGAAAAGCAGCAGGUUAAUACCCCGCGGUUCUGACGGUACCCAAAGAAGAAGCACCGGCUAACUUCGUG